GAUGAACGCUGGCGGCGUGCCUAAUACAUGCAAGUCGAGCGAACGGACGAGAAGCUUGCUUCUCUGAUGUUAGCGGCGGACGGGUGAGUAACACGUGGAUAACCUACCUAUAAGACUGGGAUAACUUCGGGAAACCGGAGCUAAUACCGGAUAAUAUUUUGAACCGCAUGGUUCAAAAGUGAAAGACGGUCUUGCUGUCACUUAUAGAUGGAUCCGCGCUGCAUUAGCUAGUUGGUAAGGUAACGGCUUACCAAGGCAACGAUGCAUAGCCGACCUGAGAGGGUGAUAGGCCACACUGGAACUGAGCCACGGUCCAGACUCCUACGGGAGGCAGCAGUAGGGAAUCUUCCGCAAUGGGCGAAAGCCUGACGGAGCAACGCCGCGUGAGUGAUGAAGGUCUUCGGAUCGUAAAACUCUGUUAUUAGGGAAGAACAUAUGUGUAAGUAACUGUGCACAUCUUGACGGUACCUAAUCAGAAAGCCACGGCUAACUACGUG
This 497-nucleotide ribosomal RNA is filed under the name uncultured bacterium. RNAcentral's name for it is "partial 16S ribosomal RNA". It matches the Rfam family "Bacterial small subunit ribosomal RNA", at positions 28 to 507 of the family's 1533-position model. The record is from RNAcentral.